GUCCACUUUUCUUCUAGUUGGCGCUCUGGAGAUCCUGUCUUCCAGGUCUUGAGUAGCACCUUAUCUCCAGGCUCAAAGGAAUGCAUUGAACUUGUGA
Long non-coding RNA from Phyllostomus discolor (pale spear-nosed bat), 97 nucleotides. RefSeq lists it as uncharacterized. Lineage: Eukaryota; Metazoa; Chordata; Mammalia; Chiroptera; Phyllostomidae. The record is from RefSeq and is a predicted model, not a curated record. The transcript has 3 exons.